RNAcentral lists this unclassified non-coding RNA (335 nucleotides) under Hevea brasiliensis (rubber tree). The record is from RNAcentral. Lineage: Eukaryota; Viridiplantae; Streptophyta; Magnoliopsida; Malpighiales; Euphorbiaceae.
GGAGGAAGCCCGGCAGAAGCUUCAGCUGCAGUCUAUCAGUGCGUCGUUAGCAUCACUGACCCGAGAGUCAGGGCCUAAAGUUGUGAAGGGAGACCCUGCAAAGAAGACAACAGAGACCCCCCAGGUCUCCCACCAGCACCAUUAUUCCACCCCUGUUAUCAGCGUCAGCGACAGCUCCCUCAAGUUUACUCAUGUCCUCUACAAUCUCUCCCCUGGGGAGUUGUACGAACAAGCAAUCAAGAACGAACAUGGAUCAUUCAUCACUGCGAGUGGGGCAUUGGCGACCCUCUCAGGGGCGAAGACAGGUCGGUCUCCGAGGGAUAAAAGGGUUGUCA